AACGUAGCCAUAGCGAAAGCGAGUUUUAAUAGAGCGUUUAGUUGUAUGUCAUAGACCCGAAACUGAAGUGAGCUAGCCAUGAGCAGGUUGAAGUUUAGGUAAAACUAAAUGGAGGACCGAACCAGGACACGUUGAAAAGUGUUUGGAUGACUUGUGGCUAGGGGUGAAAUUCCAAUCGAACUCAGAGAUAGCUGGUUCUCCCCGAAAUAGCUUUAGGGCUAGCGUUGAUUAUAAUUUUUUUUGAAGGUAGAGCACUAAAUGAGUGAUGGUUCCACCUCGGGAUACUGACCUCAAUUAAACUCCGAAUGUCAUUAAAAUAAAAUCAGCAGUCAGACUAUGGGUGAUAAGGUCCAUAGUCAAAAGGGAAAGAGCCCAGACCGUCAGCUAAGGUCCCUAAAUUAAUGUUAAGUGGAAAAGGAAGUGAAGAUGUUCAGACAACUAGGAAGUUGGCUUAGAAGCAGCCAUCUUUUAAAGAGUGCGUAAUAGCUCACUAGUCAAAUGACUUUGCACCGAAAAUGUACCGGGGCUAAAACAUUAUACCGAAGCUACGGAUAAAAAUAUUAAAAUAUUUUAUAUGGUAGGGGAAGCGUUCUGAUUUCAGUGAAGUCAUAGCGUAAGCAGUGGUGGAGAGAUCAGAAGUGAGAAUGCCGGUGUAAGUAACGAAAAGAUAGGUGAGAAUCCUAUCCGUCGAAAACCCAAGGUUUCCAGGGGCAGGUUCGUCCUCCCUGGGUUAGUCAGGUCCUAAGAUGAGGAAGAAAUUCGUAGUCGAUGGCAAGCAGGCUAAAAUUCCUGCACUAAAAAAACAACUGAUGGAGGGACAAAGAAGGAUAAGCACGCCUUUUAUUGGAUUAAGGUAGAAGAACCAAGUUUGAGAAAAUAGGCAAAUCCGUUUUCUUAUUCCAAAAAAUGAGGUUUGAAGGUAAAGUGACUGAUUUCAUACUUUCAAGAAAAGCUUCUAGGGUUAAUUGUUUUUUUACCUGUACCGUAAACCGACACAGGUGGGAAGGUAGAGUAUACUAAGAAUACUAAGACGCGCGAGAAAACUCUUGUUAAGGAACUCGGCAAAAUGACUCCGUAACUUAGGGAUAAGGAGAGCUUUUAUUUCAAAAGUAAAAGCCGCAGAUAAUAGGCCCAAGCGACUGUUUAUCAAAAACAUAGGUCUCUGCUAAACCGUGAGGUGAUGUAUAGGGGCUGAUGCCUGCCCGGUGCUGGAAGAUUAAAAGGAGAUGUUCGGGAAACCAAAGCAUUGGAGAUGUUCGGGAAACCAAAGCAUUGAAUUGAAGUCCCAGUGAACGGCGGCCGUAACUAUAACGGUCCUAAGGUAGCGAAAUUCCUUGUCGGGUAAAUUCCGACCCGCACGAAAGGCAUAACGAUUUGGGCGCUGUCUCAACAAGAGUCUCGGUGAAAUCAAAUUACCGGUGAAAAUGCCGGUUACCCGCGACAGGACGAAAAGACCCCAUGGAGCUUUACUGCAACUUAAUAUUGAAUUUGGAAAACUCAUGUACAGAAUAAGUGGGAGACUAUGAAUUUAAAACGCUAGUUUUAAAGGAGUCGCCUUUGGGAUACCACUCUUGGGUUUUUUAGCUUCUAACCUACACAAGUGUAUUGUGAGGGACAGUGUUUGGUGGGCAGUUUGACUGGGGCGGUCGCCUCCUAAAGAGUAACGGAGGCGUUCAUAAGGUUCCUUCAAAAUGGUCGGAAAUCAUUUCGAGAGCGUAAAGGCAUAAAGGAGCUUGACUGCGAGACAUACAAGUCGAGCAGGGACGAAAGUCGGACUUAGUGAUCUUACGGUACCGCAUGGAAGGGCCGUAACUCAACGGAUAAAAGCUACCCUGGGGAUAACAGGCUUAUCGCUUCCGAGCGUUCACAGCGACGAAGCGGUUUGGCACCUCGAUGUCGGCUCAUCGCAUCCUGGAGCUGGAGAAGGUUCCAAGGGUUGGGCUGUUCGCCCAUUAAAGCGGAACGCGAGCUGGGUUCAGAACGUCGUGAGACAGUUCGGUCUCUAUCCGUCGUGGGCGUUGGAAAUUUGAAAGGAACUGUCCCUAGUAUGAGAAGACCGGGAUGGAUAUACCUCUGGUGUUUCAGUUGGUUCGCCAGAGCCACAGCUGAGUAGCUAUGUAUAGAAGGGAUAAACACUGAAAGCAUCUAAGUGUGAAGCCUCCCUUAAGAUGAGAUUUCCCUAUGAGAUCCCUGAAAGAC
RNAcentral lists this ribosomal RNA (2199 nucleotides) under Texas Phoenix palm phytoplasma. RNAcentral's name for it is "bacterial LSU rRNA". It matches the Rfam family "Bacterial large subunit ribosomal RNA", at positions 659 to 2845 of the family's 2925-position model. Lineage: Bacteria; Bacillati; Mycoplasmatota; Mollicutes; Acholeplasmatales; Acholeplasmataceae. The record is from RNAcentral.